Molecule: long non-coding RNA, 212 nt
Filed under: Glycine max (soybean)
Lineage: Eukaryota; Viridiplantae; Streptophyta; Magnoliopsida; Fabales; Fabaceae
Description: long non-coding RNA (GMAX_LNC000500)
Source: RNAcentral
GCUUCCCUUCUCUGAUCUCAUGUAAUGAUGUUGUGGUAGAAGUUGCAACACUCAAUUUUGAGCAACUGGCACAGGUAAAGUAAAGUUGGUGGAACAACCUCCAUUAAUCAGUGAGACUUUUCUGGAGGCACACAGAUUCUUAGUAGACUUGGAGUCAAAGAAACAUAGAGUUCUUGGUUUGAAAAAUGAGUAAAAGGACAAAGUAGCUGGGA